CGGAGUGGACGCACCGCUGGUGUUCGGGUUGUGAUGCCAAUUGCAUUGCCCGGUAGCUACGUGCGGAAAAGAUAAGCGCUGAAAGCAUCUAAGCGCGAAACUUGCCUCGAGAUGAGUCUUCCCUUGGGCCUUGAGCCCACUGAAGGAACGUUUAAGACUAAGACGUUGAUAGGCUGGGUGUGUAAGCGUAGCGAUACGUUGAGCUAACCAGUACUAAUGAUCCGUGAGACUUAACCUUACAACACCGAAGGUGUUU
This 256-nucleotide ribosomal RNA is filed under the name Edwardsiella anguillarum. Its description in RNAcentral is "partial 23S ribosomal RNA". It matches the Rfam family "Bacterial large subunit ribosomal RNA", at positions 2693 to 2925 of the family's 2925-position model. The record is from RNAcentral. Lineage: Bacteria; Pseudomonadati; Pseudomonadota; Gammaproteobacteria; Enterobacterales; Hafniaceae.